AGGGGGGGCGUGCUAAUACAUGCAAGUCGAGCGGACAGAUGGGAGCUUGCUCCCUGAUGUUAGCGGCGGACGGGUGAGUAACACGUGGGUAACCUGCCUGUAAGACUGGGAUAACUCCGGGAAACCGGGGCUAAUACCGGAUGGUUGUUUGAACCGCAUGGUUCAGACAUAAAAGGUGGCUUCGGCUACCACUUACAGAUGGACCCGCGGCGCAUUAGCUAGUUGGUGAGGUAACGGCUCACCAAGGCGACGAUGCGUAGCCGACCUGAGAGGGUGAUCGGCCACACUGGGACUGAGACACGGCCCAGACUCCUACGGGAGGCAGCAGUAGGGAAUCUUCCGCAAUGGACGAAAGUCUGACGGAGCAACGCCGCGUGAGUGAUGAAGGUUUUCGGAUCGUAAAGCUCUGUUGUUAGGGAAGAACAAGUGCCGUUCAAAUAGGGCGGCACCUUGACGGUACCUAACCAGAAAGCCACGGCUAACUACGUGCCAGCAGCCGCGGUAAUACGUAGGUGGCAAGCGUUGUCCGGAAUUAUUGGGCGUAAAGGGCUCGCAGGCGGUUUCUUAAGUCUGAUGUGAAAGCCCCCGGCUCAACCGGGGAGGGUCAUUGGAAACUGGGGAACUUGAGUGCAGAAGAGGAGAGUGGAAUUCCACGUGUAGCGGUGAAAUGCGUAGAGAUGUGGAGGAACACCAGUGGCGAAGGCGACUCUCUGGUCUGUAACUGACGCUGAGGAGCGAAAGCGUGGGGAGCGAACAGGAUUAGAUACCCUGGUAGUCCACGCCGUAAACGAUGAGUGCUAAGUGUUAGGGGGUUUCCGCCCCUUAGUGCUGCAGCUAACGCAUUAAGCACUCCGCCUGGGGAGUACGGUCGCAAGACUGAAACUCAAAGGAAUUGACGGGGGCCCGCACAAGCGGUGGAGCAUGUGUUUUAAUUCGAAGCAACGCGAAGAACCUUACCAGGUCUUGACAUCCUCUGACAUCCUAGAGAUAGGACGUCCCCUUCGGGGGCAGAGUGACAGUGUGCAUGCUUGUCGUCAGCUCGUGUCGUGAAGAUGUUGGGUUAAGUCCCGCAACGAGGCGCAACCCUUGGA
This 1091-nucleotide ribosomal RNA is filed under the name Bacillus amyloliquefaciens. Its description in RNAcentral is "bacterial SSU rRNA". It matches the Rfam family "Bacterial small subunit ribosomal RNA", at positions 38 to 1109 of the family's 1533-position model. Lineage: Bacteria; Bacillati; Bacillota; Bacilli; Caryophanales; Bacillaceae. The record is from RNAcentral.